CGACACCCUCGAAUCAGCUUGCUGGCGAGAGGAUCUUAAUUACCAUCGAGCUUACUCACUAAAGCUAAGCAGGCCAGAGCCUGGUCAGUACACUGGUGGGAGACCAUUUGUGAAAAUGUAGCUUGCUGC
This 129-nucleotide ribosomal RNA is filed under the name Sinocyclocheilus grahami. Lineage: Eukaryota; Metazoa; Chordata; Actinopteri; Cypriniformes; Cyprinidae. The record is from RNAcentral.